GCGGGCGUGGCGGAACUGGUAGACGCGCCAGGUUUAGGUCCUGGUAUCGAAAGAUGUGGGGGUUCGAGUCCCUUCGCCCGCACCA
This 85-nucleotide transfer RNA is filed under the name Sphingomonas sp. RNAcentral describes it as "tRNA-Leu". It matches the Rfam family "tRNA". Rfam says of the family: Transfer RNA (tRNA) molecules are approximately 80 nucleotides in length. Their secondary structure includes four short double-helical elements and three loops (D, anti-codon, and T loops). The record is from RNAcentral. RNAcentral also lists the same sequence under 2 other names. Lineage: Bacteria; Pseudomonadati; Pseudomonadota; Alphaproteobacteria; Sphingomonadales; Sphingomonadaceae.